CCUACGGGUGGCAGCAGUGGGGAAUAUUGGGCAAUGGAGGAAACUCUGACCCAGCAACGCCGCGUGAAUGAUGAAGGUCUUCGGAUUGUAAAGUUCUUUUCUAAGGGAAGAAGAAAGUGACGGUACCUGAUGAAUAAGCCACGGCUAACUACGUGCCAGCAGCCGCGGUAAUACGUAGGUGGCAAGCGUUAUCCGGAUUUACUGGGUGUAAAGGGCGUGUAGGCGGGAGUGCAAGUCAGAUGUGAAAACUAUGGGCUCAACCCAUAGCCUGCAUUUGAAACUGUACUUCUUGAGUGCUGGAGAGGCAAUCGGAAUUCCGUGUGUAGCGGUGAAAUGCGUAGAUAUACGGAGGAACACCAGUGGCGAAGGCGGAUUGCUGGACAGUAACUGACGCUGAGGCGCGAAAGCGUGGGGAGCAAACAGGAUUAGAUACCCUUGUAGUC
Molecule: ribosomal RNA, 443 nt
Filed under: uncultured bacterium
Lineage: Bacteria
Description: partial 16S ribosomal RNA
Rfam family: Bacterial small subunit ribosomal RNA
Source: RNAcentral